RNAcentral lists this ribosomal RNA (253 nucleotides) under uncultured bacterium. RNAcentral describes it as "partial 16S ribosomal RNA". It matches the Rfam family "Bacterial small subunit ribosomal RNA", at positions 524 to 776 of the family's 1533-position model. The record is from RNAcentral.
UACGUAGGGUGCAAGCGUUGUUCGGAAUCAUUGGGCGUAAAGCGCGUGUAGGCUGUUAGUUAAGUCAGAUGUGAAAGCCCUCGGCUCAACCGGGGAAGUGCAUUUGAAACUAACUGGCUAGAAGACGGUAGAGGAAGGUGGAAUUCCAAGUGUAGAGGUGAAAUUCGUAGAUAUUUGGAGGAAUACCUGUGGCGAAGGCGGCCUUCUGGACCGAUCUUGACGCUGAGGUGCGAAAGCGUGGGGAGCAAACAGG